CUAAGGAUGAUCCUUCAGCUUAGCUUCGGCUAACUAUCGGAUCGUUUUAGAAACAUCAGUGGCCAACAAUCGUCAGGAUUGUUGAGCUGCAUUGGCGGGAUUUCGCCGUCUUCGUUUCUCUUUCUUCGCGGACGAACACGCGCUGGGCCUGCGUGAGCAGGGUCCCUGGUCCUUGACGGGAUAUGCGUUAGGGGCUUGUAGCUCAAUUGGUUAGAGCGCGCGCUUGAUAAGCGUGAGGUCGGAAGUUCAAGUCUUCCCAGGCCCACCAGCCUUCGCGCUUCGCUGCUUCGGCUAGGCAAGCCCUUCAAGAUGAAGGCUGCCGCGCCGUAGCCUUGGCGAAGGCGGGCUAAUCAAACGAGCAUUCGUCUUCUGGUUACGGGGCCAUAGCUCAGCUGGGAGAGCGCGUGCUUUGCAAGCAUGAGGUCGUCGGUUCGAUCCCGUCUGGCUCCACCAGAUGGUUUGAUCAUCGACUGAUCGUGUACCUGAAUCGUCCGCGAAACAUCACUUCUCACUUGCUAGUCCGGAUGGACGGCAUGCUGCGUGAUUUCUGACAUCGUAAAGAGGAGAUCGAUCCGAGUUGGAUCGUGCAGAGAAUAUCUGCGCGAGACUUCAUUAUCUCCGGAUCAUUUCGGCGCUCGUGCGUCUUUCAGGGUAGCUCACAAGGCUGCGUUUGAAAGAUGGGCGAGUUGUAAAUGAUCCUUUUAGCGAAGCUUGACCGCCUCGCUAUCGGAACGAUCUUACGAAGCAAGCUGGUCUUUCUAAUCAUUGUCCGGCUGCAGAUAGCGUUCAUCGAGGGCGCGUGCCGCAAGGUAAUUCUGCAGACAACAUUCUGCCGAGUGUGUGGACAUUGAUAAUGAGAGC
Molecule: transfer RNA, 861 nt
Filed under: Bradyrhizobium sp. 12LoS3_5
Lineage: Bacteria; Pseudomonadati; Pseudomonadota; Alphaproteobacteria; Hyphomicrobiales; Nitrobacteraceae
Description: 16S-23S ribosomal RNA intergenic spacer
Rfam family: tRNA (bases 192-265)
Source: RNAcentral